CGUUAACCACUGAGCCACGACGGGAACUCCAAAAUUUGUAGUUUUUAAUCAAACCCUCAAUGUGUUCUGCUAUUUAAAAUAGAAAAAAAUCCUUGGUGGUCAGGGAGAGGAUGUGAGAGAGAAAGGGACGGAGGGAGGUCAGCGGGGGGAGAGAGAGAGAGCACGGAAAGUGAUUUCAUAACAGUUAUACAAGAAGUUGCUAGGAAACUAUUCACUCAAUUUGUGGAUGAUAAACAUUUUCUUCUUAAGCCCAAAUAAAUAGACCUCAUAUCAUUCCAGCCAUGAGAACACAGCUGUUUUUGUGUUGAGAAGGAGCGGGGUUGGGUGGUGUGUGUGUGUGUGUGUGUGUGUAGGGAGGGAUGGAGGGAUGGGGGAAGGGAGGACGGGUGAAGCCGAGAAGAGGCAUGUGACCUUCUUCCUGUCCUCGAGAAGGAGCUCAAAUGUCCCUGCAGCCUGCUUCUGCGGAUGCCCCAAGAGGAUGGUCCUGGACGGCAGUGAUGGGGGCCACAAGCAUGCAGAAGUUCCCUGGGCCAGAGACUGAACCCAUGCCACAGUUGCAACCUGCGCCAUAGCUGCAACAAUGCUGAACCUUUAACCCACUGCUCCACCAGAAAGCUUCCUGAACCAGUUUUUCUUAAUCCAUGCGCCAAGCAUGAAGCCAAGAACUUUGUGAACAAUUGGAAAUAAAAAGAGAAAUAAAACUUGGCCCUACCAUG
Molecule: long non-coding RNA, 716 nt
Organism: Sus scrofa (pig)
Lineage: Eukaryota; Metazoa; Chordata; Mammalia; Artiodactyla; Suidae
Source: RefSeq, a predicted model, not a curated record